CCCAGGCUGCAUGUCUCUACAGCCCCUGGCAACACCGGCCCUUCUCUACAGCCCCUCACGCUUUGAGCACCCGCCCCACACCUCCUUUUGCUCACACCCUGUGCCUCCAACCCUCCCCCACCCCCACCCCUCCUCUGGCUUCCCCCCUCCCCCCGCCCCAGGUCCUGGUUCAUGCACAGCCAACUCUCUGCUUGUCACAGUCCGAUCAAUUCAUUCCUUUAGGGCUGUUAUAAGAUGAUAAUUAUUUAAUACAAUACUUGCCUUGAAAACUAUAUUCACAUCUUAAAGAGAGCUCUAGUGUCGUAACCAGAGGAGGGAGCUGGAAUUGCCAUGGAGGAGGAUGUUGCCGAUGAGAUAUGCCCAGAGUCGCCUUGGUGCCCUAGAGAAGGAGUUUCUUUUUCAUUGCAAGCCAGGUAACUCCUCUUGGGCUGUUGACAAAUUAAGCCAUCGGCCUCCUGAGUCAGUCCCUAGGCAACUCAGUUACUUUAUUUUAUUUAUUUAUUUUUUUGUCUUUUGUAUUUUAGGGCUGCACCUGCAGCAUAUGGAGGUUCCCAGGCUGAGGGAUGAAUCAGAGCUAUAGCUGCCAGCCUACGCCAGAGCCACAGCAAUGCUAGAUCCAAGCCGCAUCUGUGACCUACACCACGGCUCACAGCAACGCUGGAUCCUUAACCCACUGAGUGUGGCCAGGGAUCAAACCCACAACCUCAUGGUUCCUAGUCAGAUUCAUUUCUGCUGCACCAUGACGGGAACUCCCAACUCAGUUACUUUAAAUUGACAACUCUACAUUAUGAAAUUUUGUUUUUUCCCUGCUGCGUGGGAAUGAAGUUCUGGAACAAGAUGAGAUGGGUGAUUUUUAUUUUUUAAUCAAAGAAAUUACUUUUGGGGGGUAUAGUUUGAGUUAUAGAUUCUGACUGCACUGUGACACCCACCUUCCAGAUACUUUGUAGAGCGUAGUAAGAUCUCUCUGAGCCCCAGAGCCUGCUGUUUGGCACACAGUAGGUCUUCAGUAACUGCUGGCUCCCACACUCUCUCUCUGGCUCCCUUCCCCUGGUAUCCUGUACUCCCACCCUGCGCUUGUCCUUUAACAAGUUGUACCAACACCCUCUGGCUGUCAUUCUCCCCAGGCCCUGGGGGUGGUUAGUGUGAAGAGCAGCAAGGCCGAGACCUGGAGAGAGGGUUGAGGGGGGUUUUCUCGGGCCCGGAGCCGACUCUGCUGGGGCACUUAGCAGCUGGAACUGAUGCCGCCUCAGGAAGUGUCCUUCUGCAAUGCCUGAUGGGAGCUGAUGGAUGAUACCCACAGGUUCUGGCUCCUUCACUCUUCAGUCUGCACUGCCCCAAAAUGGAAGCCACUUGAUGGCCACGAAACACUUGGAGUGUGUACGGUCCGGAUUGAGAUGCUGUACAUGUAAAAACACCCCAGAUCCUGAAGACUUCAUGAAAAGAAAGGCCACACCCACAGCAUGUGGAGGUUUCCAGACUAGGGGUCCAAUAGGAUCUACAGCUGCCGGCCUAUACCACAGAUACAGCAACACCAGAUCCGAGCUGCUUCUGCGACCUACAUCACAGCUCAUGGCAAUGCUGGAUCCUUAACCCAAUGAGCGAGGCCAAGGAUGGAACAUGCAACCUCAUGGUUCCUAGUCAGAUUUGUUUCCGCUGCACCACGAUGAGAACUCCUGUACUUGUAGAAGAUACAAUGCUCUUGGGUCAGAGACAAAGGAUAGUUUCUUUCUCACAGCAGUGGCAGUAGCCAGAGUAUCAUUGUAUUUGUACCAGUUUGUCAAGCUCCAAUCCCACAGGCCAAUAUGGAAAGACCUGUAACAUGUAGUGUAUUGUGUUAUAGGAGAGAAAUUCAGACCUUAGAGAGCUUGGAUCUCUGAUGCAAAGGGCAGCAAGCAAACCUGCCAUUUACUCUGGAAGAAGACACAAUCUCUAUCUUUCAGACUGUUAACUAUAUAAACCUACUUAAAAAGAAACUCCCCCCAAAAAAGAUAGUCAGUGCGCUACUUGCAAAAUACGCAGAAAGGUAAGAUACCUGUGGAGAACUGUCUACCAACAUUCUCAUUUCCCUCGUCUUCUUUUCUUAGACCAUACAUUUCGCUUUGGGGGUGUUAUAUUUCUACAGACUAAUUUAACAUAUAUUGUUAAAAAGCCAACAUCAGUCCUUAACUCACUGUAAUUUUCUAAAGGACUUAUCGUUUCUUUAUUGGUGGUUCUUAAGCCUCACUUCUCUUCUCUGAAAAGAACCUGUUUUCCUAAAAUCAUGACAUUCAAAAUUGACUUAGAUUGGCAGUGCUAUAGAAAAGUAAUGCAGGAAUCAGGAGUUCCCAUCAUGGCUCAGUGGAAACGAACCCGACUAGUAUCCAUGCCUCGUUCAGUGGGUUGAUGGUCCGGCAUUGCCGUGAGCUGUGGUCUAGGUUAUAGACAUGGCUCGGAUCCUGUCCUUUCUUGCUGUGGCUGUGGCAUAGGCUGUCAGCUAUAGCUCCAAUUUGACCCCUAGCCUGGGAACUUCCAUCUGCCGCAGGUGUGGCCCUAAAAAGACAGACAGACAGACAAAGAAA
RNAcentral lists this long non-coding RNA (2558 nucleotides) under Sus scrofa (pig). RNAcentral's name for it is "lncRNA (ENSSSCG00025017351.1)". Lineage: Eukaryota; Metazoa; Chordata; Mammalia; Artiodactyla; Suidae. The record is from RNAcentral.